Pelobates cultripes (western spadefoot toad) is the source of this 226-nucleotide non-coding RNA. The record is from the annotation of a GenBank genome assembly. NCBI's taxonomy places the organism in Eukaryota, Metazoa, Chordata, Amphibia, Anura, Pelobatidae.
UUCUGACUCACCGAAGCUUCAUUUUACUCUCUUCAUUUUAAUAUUUUUUUUCCUUUAAUGAAUCUACUAAAAGAUUAUGCCCUCCAAUAAAUAUGCAUAUCAUUUAUUUUGCAUGUUUUUUUUUUUUAACAAACAUGAAACAUUAGCUUAUAAAAGCUGUAGAUCUCUUGUCUGCUGCCUUUGCAAGCCCUCCCCUUCUAACCACGCCCAGACUUUCUGUAGCGGU